RNAcentral lists this ribosomal RNA (253 nucleotides) under uncultured bacterium. RNAcentral describes it as "partial 16S ribosomal RNA". It matches the Rfam family "Bacterial small subunit ribosomal RNA", at positions 524 to 776 of the family's 1533-position model. The record is from RNAcentral.
UCCGUAGGUGGCAAGCGUUGUCCGGAUUUACUGGGCGUAAAGAGCGCGCAGGCGGUCGAGUAAGUCGCGUGUGAAAGCCCCCGGCUCAACUGGGGAGGGUCACGCGAUACUGUUCGACUCGACGGCAGGAGAGGGUAGUGGAAUUCCCGGUGUAGUGGUGAAAUGCGUAGAUACCGGGAGGAACACCAGUGGCGAAGGCGACUACCUGGGCUAACACUGACGCUCAGGCACGAAAGCGUGGGGAGCAAACAGG